Molecule: ribosomal RNA, 465 nt
Filed under: Vreelandella stevensii
Lineage: Bacteria; Pseudomonadati; Pseudomonadota; Gammaproteobacteria; Oceanospirillales; Halomonadaceae
Description: partial 16S ribosomal RNA
Rfam family: Bacterial small subunit ribosomal RNA
Source: RNAcentral
CCUACGGGCGGCUGCAGUGGGGAAUAUUGGACAAUGGGCGAAAGCCUGAUCCAGCCAUGCCGCGUGUGUGAAGAAGGCCUUCGGGUUGUAAAGCACUUUCAGUGGGGAAGAAAGCCUUGGGGCUAAUACCCUCGAGGAAGGACAUCACCCACAGAAGAAGCACCGGCUAACUCCGUGCCAGCAGCCGCGGUAAUACGGAGGGUGCGAGCGUUAAUCGGAAUUACUGGGCGUAAAGCGCGCGUAGGCGGUCUGAUAAGCCGGUUGUGAAAGCCCCGGGCUCAACCUGGGAACGGCAUCCGGAACUGUCAGGCUAGAGUGCAGGAGAGGAAGGUAGAAUUCCCGGUGUAGCGGUGAAAUGCGUAGGGAUCGGGAGGAAUACCAGUGGCGAAGGCGGCCUUCUGGACUGACACUGACGCUGAGGUGCGAAAGCGUGGGUAGCAAACAGGAUUAGAUACCCGGGUAGUC